UACGGAGGGAGCUAGCGUUGUUCGGAAUUACUGGGCGUAAAGCGCACGUAGGCGGCUCUUUAAGUCAGGGGUGAAAUCCCGGGGCUCAACCCCGGAACUGCCCUUGAAACUGCAGAGCUAGAAUACUGGAGAGGUGAGUGGAAUUCCGAGUGUAGAGGUGAAAUUCGUAGAUAUUCGGAAGAACACCAGUGGCGAAGGCGACUCACUGGACAGUUAUUGACGCUGAGGUGCGAAAGCGUGGGGAGCAAACAGG
Molecule: ribosomal RNA, 253 nt
Filed under: uncultured bacterium
Lineage: Bacteria
Also listed under: 1 other name
Description: partial 16S ribosomal RNA
Rfam family: Bacterial small subunit ribosomal RNA
Source: RNAcentral